UGAGCAAUCUGCCCUUCUCAUCGGAAUAAGCGUUGGAAACGACGUCUAAUGCCGAAUACGACCUCCUUUCGCAUGAUCGGAGGUGGAAAGCUCCGGCGGAGAAGGAUGAGCUCGCGGCCUAUCAGCUAGUUGGUGUGGGUAAAGGCUCACCAAGGCUUCGACGGGUAGCCGGCCUGAGAGGGCGACCGGCCACACUGGGACUGAGAUACGGCCCAGACUCCUACGGGAGCAG
RNAcentral lists this ribosomal RNA (232 nucleotides) under uncultured bacterium. Its description in RNAcentral is "partial 16S ribosomal RNA". It matches the Rfam family "Bacterial small subunit ribosomal RNA", at positions 118 to 347 of the family's 1533-position model. The record is from RNAcentral.